UACGAAGGGGGCUAGCGUUGUUCGGAAUCACUGGGCGUAAAGCGCACGUAGGCGGACUUUUAAGUCAGGGGUGAAAGCCUGGAGCUCAACUCCAGAACUGCCUUUGAUACUGAAAGCCUAGAGUUCGGAAGAGGUUGGUGGAACUGCGAGUGUAGAGGUGAAAUGCGUAGAUAUUCGCAAGAACACCAGUGGCGAAGGCGGCCAACUGGUCCGACACUGACGCUGAGGUGCGAAAGCGUGGGGAGCAAACAGG
This 253-nucleotide ribosomal RNA is filed under the name uncultured bacterium. Its description in RNAcentral is "partial 16S ribosomal RNA". It matches the Rfam family "Bacterial small subunit ribosomal RNA", at positions 524 to 776 of the family's 1533-position model. The record is from RNAcentral.